AUGCAUCUGGGAAUCGCAUUGGUUUUCUGUCUGGGGAUAUAGUGGUUCUCCCCCUGUCCACUUCUGCCAGCAUCGUUCUCUGUUUUCCCCACAAUGUAGGCUGAGAGGAACACCUGUCCUGCACUCUGGGGUCCAGGAAAAUCAUUGAUAGACUCAUGGGAAAGACCAUGUCCUAUGGCAGAAUGGAGGCUAAUUUGGAGGAAAGCUUGGGAGGAAGACAUACUCUACCAUACAGUCCUUUCCUCUUUUCGUGGAUGGCAAAAUGAUACAUCACUUCCCGAAGCUUGUGUUAGAAGAUGCCCCUUCACUGGUAAUUGUACUAAACUCUUCCACAAUAAUUGUGAUCUCAUCUUGGGAUUUACCAAAAAACAUUUAUAGCAUGCCUGAGAAGUCCAGAGCCCUGUUCAGAAUACAGAAGGAGACCUACUCUUCUCUGAUCACAAUAUAAAUGCUACCGACAGAGGACAUGUGGAAAGGUAAAGAAAGUUCCAACAUUCAGUAGGGAGAAUAUUGACACAAGCCUUCCCUCUUUAUGUCCUUUUUAACUCUCCUUUCAGAUUAGGUUUGUGAGGAGAUGAUUUAUAAAAGGUAAUUUGUUGCUCUUUUUUCCCACAGAAAACAUAUACGGUUUUCAUCUUAGUCUCUGCAGGGUAUGUGACCCACAAUAUAUUCAGAAACCUCCAAAAACUGUA
Molecule: long non-coding RNA, 692 nt
Filed under: Macaca fascicularis (crab-eating macaque)
Lineage: Eukaryota; Metazoa; Chordata; Mammalia; Primates; Cercopithecidae
Description: lncRNA (ENSMFAG00000059116.1)
Source: RNAcentral